Molecule: ribosomal RNA, 500 nt
Filed under: uncultured Oxalobacteraceae bacterium
Lineage: Bacteria; Pseudomonadati; Pseudomonadota; Betaproteobacteria; Burkholderiales; Oxalobacteraceae
Description: bacterial SSU rRNA
Rfam family: Bacterial small subunit ribosomal RNA
Source: RNAcentral
AGUUUGAUCCUGGCUCAGAUUGAACGCUGGCGGCAUGCUUUACACAUGCAAGUCGAACGGCAGCGCGGGGCAACCUGGCGGCGAGUGGCGAACGGGUGAGUAAUACAUCGGAACGUACCCAGAAGUGGGGGAUAACGUAGCGAAAGUUACGCUAAUACCGCAUACGUUCUACGGAAGAAAGUGGGGGAUCGCAAGACCUCAUGCUUUUGGAGCGGCCGAUGUCUGAUUAGCUAGUUGGUGAGGUAAAGGCUCACCAAGGCGACGAUCAGUAGCUGGUCUGAGAGGACGACCAGCCACACUGGGACUGAGACACGGCCCAGACUCCUACGGGAGGCAGCAGUGGGGAAUUUUGGACAAUGGGCGCAAGCCUGAUCCAGCAAUGCCGCGUGAGUGAAGAAGGCCUUCGGGUUGUAAAGCUCUUUUGUCAGGGAAGAAACGGCUGGGGCUAAUAUCUCCGGCUAAUGACGGUACCUGAAGAAUAAGCACCGGCUAACUACGUG